AUGCACGCUAGCUACAGGCUUCACACAUGCAAGUCGCGGGGCAGCAUGGGGGUUGCUUGCAACUCCCGAUGGCGACCGGCGCACGGGUGAGUAACGCGUAUCCAACCUGCCCUUCACCACGGGAUAACCCGGCGAAAGUCGGACUAAUACCGUAUGUUGUCCAUUGACGGCAUCCGAUUUGGACGAAAGGCUUUGCGGUGAAGGAUGGGGAUGCGUCCGAUUAGCCAGACGGCGGGGUAACGGCCCACCGUGGCUACGAUCGGUAGGGGUUCUGAGAGGAAGGUCCCCCACACUGGAACUGAGACACGGUCCAGACUCCUACGGGAGGCAGCAGUGAGGAAUAUUGGUCAAUGGGCGUAAGCCUGAACCAGCCAAGUAGCGUGCAGGAUGACGGCCCUAUGGGUUGUAAACUGCUUUUAUGCGGGGAUAAAGUGGCCCACGUGUGGGCUUUUGCAGGUACCGCAUGAAUAAGGACCGGCUAAUUCCGUG
Molecule: ribosomal RNA, 489 nt
Filed under: uncultured bacterium
Lineage: Bacteria
Description: partial 16S ribosomal RNA
Rfam family: Bacterial small subunit ribosomal RNA
Source: RNAcentral